Non-coding RNA from Rattus norvegicus (Norway rat), 2819 nucleotides. The record is from RefSeq and is a predicted model, not a curated record. Lineage: Eukaryota; Metazoa; Chordata; Mammalia; Rodentia; Muridae.
AGGCAGAAACUGUGGAAGAAUGAUGUUUGCUGGCUGGCUUUGGAGUUAUGCAUAGAUAUUUUUCCUUUUACAGCUCAGGUUCGCAUGCCUAGGGAUGGUGCUGCCUACAGUGGACUGGGCCUUUCUACAUCAAUUAACAAUCAGGAAAAUGCCCCACAGAUAUGGACGAAGGCCUAUCUGACCCAGGUUUUGGAAGAUUGUAGGAUAUUGGGUAAUGUAUCCUUGGAACUUCUCUGGACUAUCUUUGCAAAGUUCUGUGGCUCUCCAAAGACCUGCAAAUAAACAUCUAAAGGAGAAAUCUGUACCUCUCACCCUGCCCAUGGGAGGACCAUAAGCCCAUCUUAUUAUUUUAACUCCUCCUCCUACCGAGGAUUAUUUGCUUCUCCUCAAGCUUCCAGACAAUAUCACGUGACAGCUGGAUUAUAGCUAUAUUAUAUUCCUUGAAGAAAAUACUGUCCUGUGAAGCAACAAUGGUCCCAUUUCAAGCAAGGACCGUGAAGAUGGAAAUUGGAUUCCAAACCCACCAGGUAACCAUAAUGCAGGGGGUCAGAGAAGCAGCCAUCCUCCGGCCACAUCUGUGCUGAGUGAUAGUCUUUCUGAAUGAGAAGAAAUAGAGGCUAAUUAUCCCCAGGGUUUGACAGGUCUUUCUCAACACUUCUGCAUAAAAGAGCAAGGCCACCCAGCUGGCCCCUCAAUUGAAGGCUGCAAGAAUCUGGUGGCGCUGGUACUCAAACAAAUGAGAGAGCACAUCAAAGGGGAGCCCUACAAAGGCCCAAGGGGGGAGCUGGAGGGGACCCGAUGGUGACUGCAGUGUCUUCAGCUGGAAAAGCAAAUUGAAGAGCGGCCAUUGAAAAGGGGACAAUGCGUGGCCACAUGGGAAGAGAGGAAACAAGAGACCUUCUUGUGCAUCCAUUCCUCCCCUAACAAGAGUAGGUGCAGGACGGAUAAGUGCUGUGAAGAGGGAUCUAUUGCUAUGUAUAUGGGGCCAGCUCAAGUGAAAGCAUGAGAGGGUUGAAACUGGGCAUCCCUCUUGUCAUCUCGCUUGGGUUUAAUGUCUUAGACCCCUGCAGUGACCCAACAGUACUGUUGACAGGUUCAGCCCAUGUUCAAGCAGAUUCUUGGACAGGUACCUAUUUGCCUGGGGAGUGUGACACAGAAGAGGGACUGUGAGGCCAUUCCUUAGAUUCCUUACAGGUGAGCUUGCACUCUCGAGAGAGACACCUAGCUAUGGACCUAAAAUUUCCAACUAACUGUAGGAAGGACCUGCCAGGGCACAAGACUUAAGACCGCCUAUGUGGGUGCUGCUAAAGUUAAGCUCACAGGGGUCAAGGUGUGUUGGGGGCUGGGUAGGAAGGGAAUAUAAAAUCUUCAUAGUUCUGUGGCAGCCAGUGGGAAGGGGAGCUGGAGGAUUUCAGGCAGGGGAGUAUGGAAUUUUAAUCAAAUGCACAGAGAGCUGGGGAAGAAAUAUGGGAAGCAAAUCCAGAUAGGGUAGUGGAAGAGGGCUGAGAAAACACAAGCUUGCACACUGACUUGUCCUCGUGCACACACCUGCACCCCACUGGCCCAUUCACACUCACACGUGGGGAAUCACCUCUACACUCACAUACAUGUGACUGGCCAGGGCAGAGUCUAUGAAGAAAGGGAGAGAGAUGGCUCUGUGUGGUGCAUGCUAGGCAAUUUGCCUCAGGGCACAAUUAGGUUACCUAUGAUACCUCUUCCAGGAUGGCUUCACAGGGGCACAACACCUCAAUGUUGAGGAUGCAGGGAGGUCUCGACUCAGGUCAUACUUUCCUUUACAUUGUCUGUUAGCUCUUCUCUCUCCUCUAGCUCACUCAGAGUAUAAGGCUCAAGAGUGAGAGAGGAUGUGUGCAGUCAAUGCACCCUCUCAGUGCAGUUCUUAAGUGGUGCAGACAAUGCUAGCUUGGGCCAUCUGAAGCAUAAAAUUCAUUUAGUUCACUCUACCAGGAUGAAAAAUGUUCCAAGGGGAAAGUUAUUAUUAUAAGCCUAAUUAUUCAGAGAGUUUUGAGUUUACUGAGACAUUCAAACCCUGGCAUUCUCUAUCUCAUAGAGAUAAUUAUGUUGCCUUCAAACUGCCACUGUGGGUUAGCAAACCUUCUGUAUGGACACUGUUUUCAUAGGAAAGAUUUUUUUCUUGGCAAAUGGGAUAUUUUUUCCUUUAAAUAAUGAAACACUUAGAAAAUCGGCUUUAUUCAGUGAGUCAGUGUUUACUAAGCAACCUUACAUAGUCACAGUUGAAAUUCAGGGGCCGCUGGAUAUGUAUCACAGAGCAUAGUGAACUCCCUGAUAAGGUUUUUAACAAUACUUUUAUGUGUCUGAGUGUUUUGCAUGCAUGUAUGUCUAUGUGCUACAUGUGUGCCUGGUACCCUCAGAAGUCAAAAGAAGGUACUGGGCCCCUAGAGUUGGAGUUACAGGUCAUAUAAACUGUGUUGUGGGUGUGAGAACCAAACCCAAGUCCUUUGCAAGAGCAGAAAGUGCUCUUAAGAAUAUAGCCAGUGGGGGUUGGGGAUUUAGCUCAGUGGUAGAGUGCUUGCCUAGCAAGUGCCAGGCCCUGGGUUCGGUCCCCAGCUCCGGAAAAAAAAGAAAAGAAAAAAAAAAAAAGAAUAUAACCACUGGGCUGGAGAGAUGGCUCAAUGGUUAAGAGUGCUGACUGCUCUUCCAGAGGUCCUGAGUUCAAAUCCCAGCAACCGUAUGGUGGCUCACAACCAUCUGUAAUGGGAUCUGACCCCCUCUUCUGGUGUGUCUGAAGAUAGCUAUAGUGUACUCAUAUACAUAAAAUAAAUAAAUCUUUAAAAAAAAAA